Non-coding RNA from Gossypium raimondii (Peruvian cotton), 107 nucleotides. The record is from Rfam. NCBI's taxonomy places the organism in Eukaryota, Viridiplantae, Streptophyta, Magnoliopsida, Malvales, Malvaceae.
AAAUCAUGCAUCGAGCAUUUUCUAGUUAAUUUCUUGAAAUGCUCCCAUGCUUCAUAUAAUGUUUCAUCUUCAAAUUUUCUGAACGAUGUAAUGUCAUUCCUUAGUUU